CAGAGUUCUCGGGGCAGGGUGCAAUUCCCUACCGGCGGUGAUGAUCGAAUUUCGAUCGAGCCCGCGAGCGCCCGCAUAGGCCACGGCUGAUUGCGGGGACAGCAGAUCCGGUGUGAAUCCGGAGCCGACGGUCAUAGUCCGGAUGUGAGAGAACACCG
This 158-nucleotide non-coding RNA is filed under the name Gordonia araii. Its description in RNAcentral is "FMN sequence". It matches the Rfam family "FMN riboswitch aptamer (RFN element)". Rfam says of the family: The RFN element is a highly conserved domain that is found frequently in the 5'-untranslated regions of prokaryotic mRNAs that encode for flavin mononucleotide (FMN) biosynthesis and transport proteins. The record is from RNAcentral. Lineage: Bacteria; Bacillati; Actinomycetota; Actinomycetes; Mycobacteriales; Gordoniaceae.